UACAGAGGGUGCAAGCGUUGUUCGGAAUUAUUGGGCGUAAAGGGAGUGUAGGCGGCUUGUUAAGUCUUCUGUGAAAUCUACGGGCUCAGCCUGUAACGUGCAGAGGAAACUGGCGAGCUUGAGUGUCGGAGAGGAUAGGGGAAUACCCGGUGUAGAGGUGAAAUUCGUAGAUAUCGGGAGGAACACCCGUGGCGAAGGCGGCUCUCUGGGACGGUACUGGACGCUGAGGAGCGAAAGCGUGGGGAGCGAACAGG
This 254-nucleotide ribosomal RNA is filed under the name uncultured bacterium. Its description in RNAcentral is "partial 16S ribosomal RNA". It matches the Rfam family "Bacterial small subunit ribosomal RNA", at positions 524 to 776 of the family's 1533-position model. The record is from RNAcentral.